UACGAAGGGGGCUAGCGUUGCUCGGAUUUACUGGGCGUAAAGGGCGCGUAGGCGGACAGUUAAGUCAGAGGUGAAAGCCCAGGGCUCAACCCUGGAAUUGCCUUUGAUACUGGCUGUCUUGAGUGCGGGAGAGGUGUGUGGAACUCCGAGUGUAGAGGUGAAAUUCGUAGAUAUUCGGAAGAACACCAGUGGCGAAGGCGACACACUGGCCCGUAACUGACGCUGAGGCGCGAAAGCGUGGGGAGCGAACAGG
RNAcentral lists this ribosomal RNA (253 nucleotides) under uncultured bacterium. Its description in RNAcentral is "partial 16S ribosomal RNA". It matches the Rfam family "Bacterial small subunit ribosomal RNA", at positions 524 to 776 of the family's 1533-position model. The record is from RNAcentral.